RNAcentral lists this long non-coding RNA (222 nucleotides) under Durio zibethinus. RNAcentral's name for it is "long non-coding RNA (DZIB_LNC000229)". The record is from RNAcentral. Lineage: Eukaryota; Viridiplantae; Streptophyta; Magnoliopsida; Malvales; Malvaceae.
ACAUUUAAGAGUGAGUUGAAAAAUGAAUCAAAAAAUAUAGUUUAAUCUGUCUAAGAAGCCUCAAACCUUUUUUUGUGUGCUUGGGGGGAUAAAUGUUGAAUUGUUUAAAUUUUAUUCGGAUCAACUUUUAUUUCUCUUUCACUGAUUAUAAAUCUCAGUAAUUUUUUUGAUCUGGCUCCGAAUGUAUAUUUAGCUGGAUUCAGUUUGAGUUAAAAUUUUUUU